AUUGAACGCUGGCGGCAGGCCUAACACAUGCAAGUCGAGCGGAUGAAGGGAGCUUGCUCCUGGAUUCAGCGGCGGACGGGUGAGUAAUGCCUAGGAAUCUGCCUGGUAGUGGGGGAUAACGUCCGGAAACGGGCGCUAAUACCGCAUACGUCCUGAGGGAGAAAGUGGGGGAUCUUCGGACCUCACGCUCUCAGAUGAGCCUAGGUCGGAUUAGCUAGUUGGUGGGGUAAAGGCCUACCAAGGCGACGAUCCGUAACUGGUCUGCGAGGAUGAGCAGUCACACUGGAACUGAGACACGGUCCAGAGUCCUACGGGAGGCGGCAGUGGGGAAUAUUGGACAAUGGGCGAAAGCCUGAUCCAGCCAUGCCGCGUGUGUGAAGAAGGUCUUCGGAUUGUAAAGCACUUUAAGUUGGGAGGAAGGGCAGUAAGUUAAUACCUUGCUGUUUUGACGUUAACAACAGAAUAAGCACCGGCUAACUUAGUG
RNAcentral lists this ribosomal RNA (484 nucleotides) under uncultured bacterium. RNAcentral describes it as "partial 16S ribosomal RNA". It matches the Rfam family "Bacterial small subunit ribosomal RNA", at positions 30 to 507 of the family's 1533-position model. The record is from RNAcentral.